CCCUUAGAUGUUCUGGGCCGCACGCGCGCUACACUGAUGAAUUCAACGAGUUUCAGAACGUGUUUGGCUUUCGGGUCGGCACUGCACCUUGGCCGACAGGCCCGGGCAAUCUUUGAACGCUGGUCGUGAUGGGGAUAGACUUUUGCAAUUUUUGGGUCUUCAACGAGGAAUUCCUAGUAAACGCAAGUCAUCAACUUGCAUUGAUUACGUCCCUGCCCUUUGUACACACCGCCCGUCGCGCCUACCGAUUGAAUGGUCCGGUGAAGCCUCCGGAUUGGCGCGCACCUCGGUGCCGCCGAGAAGUUGGCUAAACCUUACCAUUUAGAGGAAGGUGGAGUCGUAACA
Molecule: ribosomal RNA, 345 nt
Filed under: uncultured eukaryote
Lineage: Eukaryota
Description: partial 18S ribosomal RNA
Rfam family: Eukaryotic small subunit ribosomal RNA
Source: RNAcentral